GACGAACCGUGCGAACGUUGUUCGGAAUCACUGGGCUUAAAGGGCGCGUAGGCGGGCCAUCAAGUCGGGGGUGAAAUACUUCAGCUUAACUGGAGAACUGCCUUCGAUACUGGUGGCCUAGAGGGAGGUAGGGGUCUGCGGAACUUCCGGUGGAGCGGUGAAAUGCGUUGAUAUCGGAAGGAACGCCGGUGGCGAAAGCGGCGGACUGGACCUCUUCUGACGCUGAGGCGCGAAAGCUAGGGGAGCAAACGGG
Molecule: ribosomal RNA, 253 nt
Filed under: uncultured bacterium
Lineage: Bacteria
Description: partial 16S ribosomal RNA
Rfam family: Bacterial small subunit ribosomal RNA
Source: RNAcentral